GUGCCUACUGAGCUGAUAUCAGUUCUGAUUUUACAUACUGGCUCAGUUCAGCAGGAACAG
RNAcentral lists this microRNA precursor (60 nucleotides) under Chrysemys picta bellii (western painted turtle). RNAcentral's name for it is "Cpi-Mir-24-P2_pre stem-loop". It matches the Rfam family "mir-24 microRNA precursor family", at positions 8 to 65 of the family's 69-position model. From Rfam's summary of the family: This family represents the microRNA (miRNA) mir-24 family. miRNAs are transcribed as ~70nt precursors (modelled here) and subsequently processed by the Dicer enzyme to give a ~22nt product. In this case the mature sequence comes from the 3' arm of the precursor. The extents of the hairpin precursors are not generally known and are estimated based on hairpin prediction. RNAcentral also lists the same sequence under 3 other names. The record is from RNAcentral. Lineage: Eukaryota; Metazoa; Chordata; Testudines; Emydidae.